RNAcentral lists this ribosomal RNA (457 nucleotides) under uncultured bacterium. RNAcentral describes it as "bacterial SSU rRNA". It matches the Rfam family "Bacterial small subunit ribosomal RNA", at positions 335 to 784 of the family's 1533-position model. The record is from RNAcentral.
ACUCCUACGGGAGGCAGCAGUGGGGAAUAUUGCACAAUGGGCGCAAGCCUGAUGCAGCCAUGCCGCGUGUAUGAAGAAGGCCUUCGGGUUGUAAAGUACUUUCAGCAGUGAGGAAGGCGGAGUCGUUAAUAGCGGCCUCGUUUGACGUUAGCUGCAGAAGAAGCACCGGCUAACUCCGUGCCAGCAGCCGCGGUAAUACGGAGGGUGCGAGCGUUAAUCGGAAUUACUGGGCGUAAAGCGCAUGCAGGCGGCCUGUUAAGUCAGAUGUGAAAGCCCGGGGCUUAACCUCGGAAUUGCAUUUGAAACUGGCAGGCUAGAGUCUUGUAGAGGGGGGUAGAAUUUCAGGUGUAGCGGUGAAAUGCGUAGAGAUCUGAAGGAAUACCAGUGGCGAAGGCGGCCCCCUGGACAAGACUGACGCUCAGAUGCGAAAGCGUGGGGAGCAAACAGGGAUUAGAUA